GGGAAAACACUCGGUGCUGUUGACCACCUCUUCCCCUCCCACCAUUGGGGGAAGAAGCUCUGCCGAGCAAGGGGGGGGAAAGAGAGAAUGGAAAGGAUGAAGAAGCAAAGCUCAGGUGUUCAGCAUGCGGAAAAUUUUGCUUGCGGGUGACGAGCAGGAUUUCCUUCUCGGCCAGUCAGUCGCCAGUAGGCUGGCUUCAGUAGAGUACUCGAGGUCAAAUCUGAAAUGGAUGGAUGAAAGUAGAAUUGCCCGGAGCCGGACGGAAUUUCACCAACGGAGUUCACAAGUUCAGCUUGUUUGUCUGGAGCUGGAAU
This is a long non-coding RNA of Lolium rigidum, 314 nucleotides long. RefSeq lists it as uncharacterized. NCBI's taxonomy places the organism in Eukaryota, Viridiplantae, Streptophyta, Magnoliopsida, Poales, Poaceae. The transcript has 3 exons. The record is from RefSeq and is a predicted model, not a curated record.